This 30-nucleotide non-coding RNA is filed under the name Mus musculus (house mouse). The record is from RNAcentral. Lineage: Eukaryota; Metazoa; Chordata; Mammalia; Rodentia; Muridae.
UGCAAGUCGGAGUAGACAGUUGAGGAGUGG